RNAcentral lists this ribosomal RNA (396 nucleotides) under Triticum aestivum (bread wheat). RNAcentral's name for it is "partial small subunit ribosomal RNA". Lineage: Eukaryota; Viridiplantae; Streptophyta; Magnoliopsida; Poales; Poaceae. The record is from RNAcentral.
AUGGUUCUGCAAUCCAUGAGCAACGAUCAUCAUCCAUCGCUGCUCCUUGAUGGCUUCCCUACUUUCUGCCCUGCCUUGCCCCUAAUAUCGCCGCCACCACCACCGGAGAAUGGCACUGACUGUCAUGAUGCCAUCCAGCUAUCACAGAUGCUGGCCGCGGAUGAGCAAGGAGCGGUGGCUCAUCAUCAGCAAGAUCCGAGCACCGUUAGUAAGAAGAGAGAGGAACGGGACAGGGCCAAGCAAAGGUACAACGAGAAGAAGAAGAACAGGAAGUUCUGCAAGCAGAUCAUGUACGCGUCCCGAAAAGCAAGGGCGGACACACGAAAGCGAGUCAAGGGCAGAUUCGCCAAGGCUACCAAUGAACACCAACACAUACUACACCCAGAUGCAGCAUAA